UAGGGAAUAUUGCUCAAUGGGAGAAAUCCUGAAGCAGCAACGCCGCGUGGAGGAUGAAGGGUCUAUGACUUGUAAACUCCUGUAAAGAAGGAAAAAAUUCCCAUUAGAUGGGAGAUGAUGGUACUUCUGGAGUAAGCCCCGGCUAACUACGUGCCAGCAGCCGCGGUAAUACGUAGGGGGCAAGCGUUGUCCGGAUUUACUGGGUGUAAAGGGUGCUCAGGCGGAUUUGUAAGUCAGAGGUGAAAUCUUACAGCUUAACUGUGAAACUGCCUUUGAUACUGCAAGCCUAGAGUAUGGAAGAGAGUGAUGGAAUAUCUGGUGUAGCAGUGAAAUGCGUAGAUAUCAGAUAGAACACCAAUGGCGAAGGCAGUCACUUGGUCCAUUACUGACGCUAAAGCACGAAAGCGUGGGUAGCAAACA
Molecule: ribosomal RNA, 420 nt
Filed under: uncultured bacterium
Lineage: Bacteria
Description: bacterial SSU rRNA
Rfam family: Bacterial small subunit ribosomal RNA
Source: RNAcentral